GUGCCAGCAGCAGCGGUAAUACGAAGGGGGCUAGCGUUACUCGGAAUUACUGGGCGUAAAGCGUGCGUAGGUGGUCUGUUAAGUCUGUUGUGAAUGCCCUGGGCUCAACCUGGGAAUGGCAGUGGAUACUGGCGAGCUAGAGUGCGGUAGAGGGUAGUGGAAUUCCCGGUGUAGCAGUGAAGUGCGUAGAGAUCGGGAGGAACACCAGUGGCGAAGGCGGCUACCUGGACCAGCACUGACACUGAGGCACGAAAGCGUGGGGAGCGAACAGGAUUAGAUACCCUGGUAGUCC
This 292-nucleotide ribosomal RNA is filed under the name uncultured bacterium. RNAcentral's name for it is "partial 16S ribosomal RNA". It matches the Rfam family "Bacterial small subunit ribosomal RNA", at positions 505 to 796 of the family's 1533-position model. The record is from RNAcentral.